Molecule: ribosomal RNA, 490 nt
Filed under: uncultured bacterium
Lineage: Bacteria
Description: partial 16S ribosomal RNA
Rfam family: Bacterial small subunit ribosomal RNA
Source: RNAcentral
AUUGAACGCUGGCGGCAGGCCUAACACAUGCAAGUCGAACGGCAACAGGAAGAAGCUUGCUUCUUUGCUGACGAGUGGCGGACGGGUGAGUAAUGUCUGGGAAACUGCCUGAUGGAGGGGGAUAACUACUGGAAACGGUAGCUAAUACCGCAUAACGUCGCAAGACCAAAGAGGGGGACCUUCUGGCCUCUUGCCAUCGGAUGUGCCCAGAUGGGAUUAGCUAGUAGGUGGGGUAACGGCUCACCUAGGCGACGAUCCCUAGCUGGUCUGAGAGGAUGACCAGCCACACUGGAACUGAGACACGGUCCAGACUCCUACGGGAGGCAGCAGUGGGGAAUAUUGCACAAUGGGCGCAAGCCUGAUGCAGCCAUGCCGCGUGUAUGAAGAAGGCCUUCGGGUUGUAAAGUACUUUUAGCGGGGAGGAAGGGAGUAAAGUUAAUACCUUUGCUCAUUGACGUUACCCGCAGAAGAAGCACCGGCUAACUCCGUG